GGGCUUAACAUCCAGUGGAGGUACUCUGAUGGCAACCUGGCAGUCUUUGGGUGUAUUUGCUUUCAUCAAACCCUGCUCAGAUAUGGAAUCUACCAGGACCUUGCAUGAAGAAGCAGAUAAUCUGAGGAGUGGAAAGGUGGAAAAAUGCAAUUUUCUUUAUCUCACUGAUUCUCCACAUAUCUUUUAUAAUGACUAUAAUAUGUAAUACCUGCAGUCCUUUAAGCCUUUCAUGGCUUUGUGGAUGUUAAUUAAAUGAAUUCUCAC
Long non-coding RNA from Lonchura striata (white-rumped munia), 264 nucleotides. RefSeq lists it as uncharacterized. NCBI's taxonomy places the organism in Eukaryota, Metazoa, Chordata, Aves, Passeriformes, Estrildidae. The record is from RefSeq and is a predicted model, not a curated record.